CCAUGAGAAGGAUCUUAGACUCUGCCGAGUUUAUCAAAUUCACGGUCAUUAGACCAUUUCCAGGACUUGUGAUUAAUAACCAGAGCUGGUUGAUCAGAGUGAGUCAGAAGGCCCCGUGAUACAAGAAUCAGCUGAACCAAGCCAGUUGGAAGUUCCAGCCACAGAAGAAAUAAAAGAGACUGAUGGAAGCUCUCAGAUCAAGCAAGAACCAGACCCCACGUGGUAGACCUCUUCCCUCCUAGGCUUAAAGUAUCAGUGGUUGAGAAGAGCUUUUCGGACCUGUUACUACCCCAAG
This 295-nucleotide long non-coding RNA is filed under the name Homo sapiens (human). RNAcentral describes it as "HSALNT0124373". The record is from RNAcentral. Lineage: Eukaryota; Metazoa; Chordata; Mammalia; Primates; Hominidae.